GCAGCUGCAACCGAGUGGAUAAGGCGAUGGACUAGAAAUCCAGUGGGGUCUCCCCCCGUAGUUCGAUCUACCGGCUGCG
Non-coding RNA from Trichonephila inaurata madagascariensis, 79 nucleotides. Lineage: Eukaryota; Metazoa; Arthropoda; Arachnida; Araneae; Nephilidae. The record is from the annotation of a GenBank genome assembly.